Long non-coding RNA from Rhea pennata, 369 nucleotides. RefSeq lists it as uncharacterized. The transcript is spliced from 3 exons. The record is from RefSeq and is a predicted model, not a curated record. Lineage: Eukaryota; Metazoa; Chordata; Aves; Rheiformes; Rheidae.
GAGCCACGAUUUUUUUCUUGAACAUAUAUGUUAUAAACUGCCUGCGUGUUUCCUUUUUUUCUGUCCUUUUAGUAUAGGUAAAUGUUGCAUGUAUAAGUAAAGCAUGCUGUGAAUUCACCAUUGCAUGAAUAUAGCCUGGUACACUGGAAAAAAAGCUGUUCUCUUCUGGCUCAAACCACAGAGAGCACUCCCCAGUCUUCAUGGAGGCGCAACUGCGAAGCUAAUCAAAAUCAAUGACUUCUUGGCUGCUGUAAAAAAACAGAGGAGUGCCCGGGAGAGAGGGACUGUGCCGGUUUCCUACCCAUUAGGAAGGAUCGCUGGGAAGUCUGGACUGAGCGUGUUCAUGGAUCUGCAGGGCCAGCAGAGAGC